Molecule: long non-coding RNA, 3353 nt
Filed under: Actinidia chinensis (golden kiwifruit)
Lineage: Eukaryota; Viridiplantae; Streptophyta; Magnoliopsida; Ericales; Actinidiaceae
Description: long non-coding RNA (ACHI_LNC006266)
Source: RNAcentral
GUCAAUCAAACUGUAUACAAGUAAGAAAAACUAUUAGUAUCCAAACUAUUGAACUACAACUGGCUUAUAGCUCUAGAAUGGACCUUAGCAGCGUGCAAGUCUUGUAGUAUUUAAAGGCAAGAAGAGAGCACACUUUUUCGCAUUAUUACAGAUUUUUUUUCCUUGUUAAUAAGUAAUUUGAAUAUCUUAUCUCAGGCUUGGAAAACAAAGCAUCACUCCAAACAUUAAACAAUUGGCAGUGUUCGUACUUCAAGCAUAUGAGUCCUAUUUUCUUAUCUAGGAAUAUGACAGAGUGAUUCACAUAAAUAGAAGAGAAUGACACCCAAUUUCUAAUAUUUAAGAAAAUUUGCGAUAACUUAAAUUGAAACCCUAUUAUAAACAGAAACUUUUCCAUUAAAAAUGAGUUGCGAGGUCUAUAAAAAUACAACCAUUCCGAUUAAGCAUCCUUGUUUGACUUUCUAGUUACUCUGAGGUAAAGUAUUACUAAUAUAUAAUGACACUGACUACAGAAUUCUGCCCACCUUCCAAAUCAUCUUAGCAUGACAACGAAAGGAAAAUUUACUCCUUAAUUCACGUCACUUAGUAAAGCAUCUGUAUGAAAAUGCAUCUCAAAAGGUUGGAGAAGUGGGAGCUGUUUGAACACCUACCCUUGACAAACUCAUAUAAUUUCUUAAGCAUUAAUAUUGAAAUCAACAGUACGUACAGAUGGAAAAAAUCAUAGAUAAGAAUCAGAAGACGCCCCUCCCCCCCGAUAUGAACCGAAAAAAACGAGAGGGAGAUUAAAUCUUCUCCAUCUUGGCCAAGUCUAUAUGCAUGCCAGCAAUUUCAAAUCAAGAGUCCAUAACGCAUAUUUACAGAAUCACUCCUCUGUCAUCUCAACUGAUAUUAAAAAUUUGAUAUUGGUUUUCCCAUUAAUAGUUCCAUUAUCAAAUGAGUUCUAACAAACAAUGAUAGCAGCAUCCGUAAGUACUCAACCACCACCGUUGCAACUCUCAAUCACCAUCACCACCCCCUCAAACUCAUCAAACCCAACUUGUUACCACCACAUUACCAUCGAGUUCAUCCCACAAAAGAUAUAGUUAUUACUAUUAUUUUUAAAGGAGAAUCCCCUUUGGUGUCUCCCUAAAAAUGAAGCUGAUUAUUUUUGUUUUCCCUAAAUGUCCAACAUAAAAUCAUUGGUCACAUUUUAAUGACGCUUUUUCCUCCUAGCGCUUAGCGGGUAGGCCCUGACCAUUCAUAACUAGACGGACUGGGGUUAUUACGGCUUGGCUUGUGGCCUGGAGCGUCGCUUGAGGAUUGAGUUUGUUUUCGCGUUAGGAACAUUCCCGGCAACGAGUAAUUAAACGUACAAGCCAAGCCCCGUCCUCCUCUCGCCCACUGCCAAGGGGAGUUAGGAGUUAGAAAGUGGGUUUCGAACAGUCAGGGGUUUAAUGACCCAGAGAGGAGCAACUGGCAAAGCUCCACGAACCAGUGGGGGCACGAAGGGACCCAAUGUCGACUCCCUAACUCGAGUCAAAUCUACACGCUUAAGGCUGCUUGGGAUCAGCGAUGUGACCCGGCUGGAAUCUACGAUGGCAUCUCUGGACUGGUGCUUGGUGUAAGGUAGUGGUGGAUAAGUUGAGACGGGAAGGCAUGUUACUGAUGGCUGGCUAUGGUGGUAGGAGUGUUGUGGGCUAGCUUGGCUCUUUCUGGCUUUGAUGGCUUUCUUCUGGUAGUACCUUGACUACUUCCACUCCUGCUCCCCUAUACUACUUCGGUGCCCUCUUAGCAUUUAGUAGUUCCAUAUAGCAAAAGAUUAUUAGAGGCAAAAGACUAACUACUAACGAUACAUGGGGUACGCACACUCCCGCCAGCAAGGGAAAUAUUGAGAAGUUAGCCCCUUUUAUAACCACUCCAUGUUCCAAUACAGGAAGCUGCUUCAGUUUCCUACUCACAAGCAACAACACUAUCUUCUCACAUUCCUUUUCCACCAAACAACUGGUUUCUAGCAUCUCUUUCCCUCAUCGACUGCCUUCUUGCCUGCUUUUUAGUCAAAGAUGGCCUACAACAAGACUAUUUCGUCUUGGCAAACACCCAGUCGACUACUCGAUCAAACACCAGUUUUUUUCCACAUCAUCAAAGUUGAAGAUAGGCCUUUGAGUAUUUCUUUCUCUGUCAAACAAUUGACCUAUUUCAGUUUUCCUCCUCUUCGUCAAUUGCUUAUCAUAGAAGUGUCAAUAUUUUAUUUUGUGUUCAUAUACUGUGAGUUAUUACAGAUUCACAUAUUUACGAUUUUCAAGUCUGUUACUGUGAUCAUUAUGCUCUGUAACAUCAUGAAAUCUUACCAAUAAAAUAGAGGUAACUGUUUUGUCCAAAUACUUUAGUGCUUGUUGUAUAUUUGUGUAGUUAUGUUCAAAUUUCAUUUUCACCUUUGAUUUCUGUUACUAAGAAUUCAAAACGCUUCAUAGCUGGUGUUAUAAGUUGUGAAACAGCUCAAGUAGAAUUUAGGUGGCUUAUCUACCAAGGUCAUGCUUCCAAGUUUGGUGACAUAUAUUCUAACAAGGACAUGCUGUUUUUAAGAGACUCACUUCCAAGUAGAAUUUAGUAACCUUAUUUUACGAGGUCAUGCUUUUAUUUCUGCCAAUAUGCUUAAUUUGUAACUUCUGCUACUAAUUCCCUUUAAUUUUUUGCAUCAAUUCUGUACCAUGAAAACAAUAUUAUUCAAGGAAUAAUUGCUUAAAUUCAAAUAGAGAUAUGAGAAUAUUAUACAUGCAGGUACACAAAUAGAAUUAGUUUACUAUUACUUCCAAGUUUAAAACAACUAGACUCAAUGACAUAAAAUUUGCUUUGCUACGCAAUGAUUGAUAUUGGUUCGAAACAAAGCAUGAGAUGAUGCCAAUUUUUACUUGUAACGCGGUUUCCUUGGAAAGGAAAUAUGAUCUUAACGUCAUUGACCGCUAGUACACAUCAAUAUAUACACACACACACGUAUAUAUUUGUGUACAUAUAAAUAUAUAUACACACGUACAUAUAUGAAAGAUAGAGGGGACUAAAGGUGAAGCGAUUUUGUGUGCGACUGGAGGAUAUGGUGGUGGUGCUAAUGGCCGCAGGAGUGCUGAAGAGAGAAGGAUAAAGAGAGGGGGGAGAAGAGAUAUAUGAGUGAGACAGAGAAGACUUACUGGUGUUGGGGAUGAUUGCGGUGGGUGGCGAGCGGCGAUGGACGCAGUGGUGGAUGGAGGUUGCGGAUGGAGGUUGGUGGAUUUUGGUGGUUAGGGGCCUAGGCUAUUGAAAAUUAGGGUUUUGGCCUGUUGAAGUGAGAGUUGGACUUGGAGUGAGGGGUUAAGGGAAAAAGGGUCGGGUUGGUCCGGGCUUUG